CGACUGCUUGCGCCCCAUCUGCGCAGGCCAAGGCCAUACGGACAGCCGAGUCGAAUGCCGA
This 61-nucleotide small RNA is filed under the name unclassified sequences. Its description in RNAcentral is "Streptococcus sRNA SpF59 (ldcC RNA)". It matches the Rfam family "Streptococcus sRNA SpF59 (ldcC RNA)". The record is from Rfam by way of RNAcentral.